UUGGAGGGCAAGUCUGGUGCCAGCAGCCGCGGUAAUUCCAGCUCCAAUAGCGUAUAUUAAAGUUGUUGCAGUUAAAAAGCUCGUAGUUGAAUUUCGGGAUUAGUACGUUGGUCGUGCCUUAGGUACGUACUGGUGUUACUGGUUUCUACCUUCUGACGAACCAUCAUGUCAUUAAUUUGGUGUGGUGGGGAAUCAGGACUGUUACUUUGAAAAAAUUAGAGUGUUUAAAGCAGGCUCGCGCUUGAAUACAUUAGCAUGGAAUAAUGAAAUAGGACGUUGAUCCUAUUUUGUUGGUUUCUAGGAUUGACGUAAUGAUUAAUAGGGAUAGUUGGGGGCAUUAGUAUUCAAUUGUCAGAGGUGAAAUUCUUGGAUUUAUUGAAGACUAACUACUGCGAAAGCAUUUGCCAAGGAUGUUUUCAUUAAUCAAGAACGAAAGUUAGGGGAUCGAAGACGAUCAGAUACCGUCGUAGUCUUAACCAUAAACUAUGCCGACUAGGGAUCGGAUGAUGUUAUUUUUAAUGACUCAUUCGGCGCCUUACGGGAAAC
Molecule: ribosomal RNA, 546 nt
Filed under: uncultured Glomus
Lineage: Eukaryota; Fungi; Glomeromycota; Glomeromycetes; Glomerales; Glomeraceae
Description: SSU rRNA
Rfam family: Eukaryotic small subunit ribosomal RNA
Source: RNAcentral